UGAAAAUCCUUGUUCCUGCUCAACUGUUUCUAGAUCUGAACUCACUCCUCUGCAGGCUGAGGGGCUGAGCCCGGUGUGCGGACGGCACUGCAGUGAAAAACAAGGCAGGGGACGUGGCACCCAGUGAAACCACAAAGAAUUGGGCUAAGUGGUGGAACCACCUCAGAGGCGAGACAGCUGCAAAGGUGGCAGCAGAGACAGCAGCAGUGGAGGUGUUCCUUGACUCCUCCCUCUCCACCCCCCAGUUCAAGGUGGGGGGAGAUGAACCCACUUUAAAGCAUCCCUGAAUUCUGGGACUUGGCUGACUUCGGCCAGCCAACGGCAAGCGGGACGCAGUGGAGGGCAAGGGCAGUGGCAUGAUAAAGGGACUUUUAUCUGUUGGAGUUUCAUGCUGCAAGGUGGGAAACUGAGGCACUGCCCAGCAUCCUGUGGGCCAGAUGGAGACAGGAUGCCUGAGAGAUCAAAUCCUCCACAAACUGUUGCUUGCUGCCCACCUACAGCGAUCGCUGCAGAAAGAUUGUGGAGCAAUAAGACAUCCUCUGAAUGUGAUAAGAAACCUAAAGACAAAACCGGUCACCCUCCAGAGGGCUGGAGACGGACGCCCUGCAAAUUUCCCAUUGCAAUGAAACGGCCAUAAUCCUGCACCGAGGCGCCUUUCGGACUCUGGAUGGGGAAAGCAGCAGCAGUAGCCGUGUGCCGCUUGUAGCCCUACCUCGUGCAGAUAUGGCGGUGCCAUGAGCUACUCCGUGAUCGGAUGCGAGGGCACAACUUUCACAACGCAACAGGCGGGCACGGUGGAGCAGCAGCCCAGAGUUUCUGCAUUUCAAACUGCGAUCCACUGAAAGCAUCGCACCUCGUAAUUGAUCAUCCAGGCCUCCAGUUUCAGGCUGAACCAGCUUCAGGGCAGCAGCUCCUAUUAGGAUGGAGACAAUGAGUUUCUGCAAACGCACCAGGACCUGGCCGGCUUCCAUCUGACUAGCG
Gopherus evgoodei (Goodes thornscrub tortoise) is the source of this 981-nucleotide long non-coding RNA. RefSeq lists it as uncharacterized. NCBI's taxonomy places the organism in Eukaryota, Metazoa, Chordata, Testudines, Testudinidae. The record is from RefSeq and is a predicted model, not a curated record. The transcript is spliced from 4 exons.